This 1528-nucleotide long non-coding RNA is filed under the name Equus caballus (horse). Its description in RNAcentral is "lncRNA (ENSECAG00000046186.1)". Lineage: Eukaryota; Metazoa; Chordata; Mammalia; Perissodactyla; Equidae. The record is from RNAcentral.
AUACACAGAUUGUCUGUAUUAGGAGUCAGGUGUUCUGAAUCCUGAAUUUACCCACAGCCAAACAAACAAGAUGGCGCUCACGUUACUUCUCAGAGUUCAAGGGUUCACAUCCCCUUCCUACAGAGCACCCUUCAUGCCCAAACAGGCCUCUCUAUGCCAGAGCACGAGGAGUCCCAGGAAGGAAGGAGAAAGUGGUCAAGUCCCGCCCUCUCUCCCUUUGCCACCUGGGCCGGAAAGCCACGCUGCUUGUUCCCCAGAGCAUCACAGAAAACCGUCAGCUCUGAGUAUACAUCAGAAAUUGCCUGCAGCUACCCUGCUAUGCCUAGACGCACCCUCCAGAAAGAAAUUCAAUGCAUUCAGAAGAUCAGCUCUCCUCUUACAUGAUGCAAAGAGGAUGUGAGCCUCAUGGUUUUCACUCCACACUUCUACAGGCCCAACGACUUUGGAAUUUUUACCCAUGGUCCACAAGCAAAUGAACUGAAGUGAUGAACCCAGUCUCCAUCACCACUCAGCUGCGAGAUCACCACCAGUCUCUAAAUGGGCUUUAACAGCUGACGGGAAAUCCAAACCAAGCCUCAGAAAUCAAGGAUUCCAGCUGGGGCCUGUUACAGAGGACAUUCUGUCCAUUUACCUGGAGAGUGAAUGUAGCGUCUCAACUCAGAGUGCUCACAUCAACCAGCCUCCCAAACUGGACCCAGGCGACUGUGGCCUGUCCCUCACUCUCUUGCUCCCUUAUCAAACGCUUGUUGAGCAUUUACUACGUGUAACCCCUGAACUCUGCAUGGUGUUUGAUAUUUAUACAUCAAAACAGUCUCUCCUAGUUGGAAAACCAGACGGGCAGUGAAUUCUUGGAUGGAGAACCAGUUAGGGAAAGAAACCUGAAAAUAUAAAUUAUCUGACAAGAUUUUCCUUGAAACCAAGCUUGAGGAAAUUUCAAAAAAUGUCUCGAGUAAGAUACAAAUGGAAAUUAAGUAUAGUAUCCAUUGUCACUAACUCAUGGUGUAUAGAAUAUCAGUGAUAUUCUCUUAAAAGCACAAAAUAUACCUUUUUGUGUUGGGCAAAUCUCUCAUAAGCAAAUUUCAAAGAGAACAUUUCUGGUGAAAUAGAUGAUGCUAAAAGUAUUUAUGUGAAAGAUGCCUCAGCUUGAUAACCUGUGAAGAAUGCCCAUUGUUCUUAAUCACAGUCUACUGAUAAGUAUUCAUUAAUUAUAAUAAUAUUUUGUGGGUCCAUGGAUCCUUUCAUCCCUAGUUUUCAAAGUGCUUUACAACUGGUCAUUAAUUCCUCCAACAUCCUAGGGACAAAUUUAAGGGUAACUUUCAGCAAAACUUGCACUGAUGCUCAGAAUGCCUUCCUCAGAAGUUUUAGACCCAGAGCGUGGUUUUGUUGCCUGAAUUCUUGGAAUGAGGAACAGCCGGUUCUCAAAUUGUACCCAGAGGGGAACCCAAUAGAGGGAAACUCGUCGUGUGCUGUCAAAGGAAGAAAUUCACGCUGUGGGAGAGGCCAUAACUGCUGGUGGCAUUUGCAGCUG